RNAcentral lists this unclassified non-coding RNA (195 nucleotides) under fungal sp. RNAcentral's name for it is "partial internal transcribed spacer region". The stretch from base 1 to 46 matches the Rfam family "Eukaryotic small subunit ribosomal RNA", at positions 1786 to 1831 of the family's 1831-position model. Lineage: Eukaryota; Fungi. The record is from RNAcentral.
AAGUCGUAACAAGGUAUCCGUAGGUGAACCUGCGGAUGGAUCAUUACCAAAGGAAACAUUCCUGACGUAUUGUGAACUGUUUAGAACCACAGUCAGUUCCUAGUGGGCUGGCUGUACAACAAACGUAGCCAUUUUCGAAACUGAAAUAUUUUUUUAUAUUAAAAAAAACUUUUAGCAACGGAUCUCUUGGCUCUC